GACGAACGCUGGCGGCGUGCUUAACACAUGCAAGUCGAACGGGAUUUCGUAAACAGAAGCCUCGGUGGAAGAUUACUAAUGAGAGUGGCGAACGGGUGAGUAACGCGUGAGCAACCUGCCUAUGACAGUGGGAUAGCCUCGGGAAACCGGGAUUAAUACCGCAUAAAAUCGUAGAAACACAUGUUUUAACGGUCAAAGAUUUAUCGGUCAUAGAUGGGCUCGCGUCUGAUUAGCUAGUUGGUGAGAUAACAGCCCACCAAGGCGACGAUCAGUAGCCGGUCUGAGAGGAUGAACGGCCACAUUGGAACUGAGACACGGUCCAAACUCCUACGGGAGGCAGCAGUGGGGAAUAUUGCACAAUGGGGGAAACCCUGAUGCAGCGACGCCGCGUGAACGAAGAAGGUAUUCGUAUCGUAAAGUUCUGUCUUAUGGGAAGAUAAUGACAGUACCAUAGAAGAAAGCUCCGGCUAAAUACGUG
This 478-nucleotide ribosomal RNA is filed under the name uncultured bacterium. Its description in RNAcentral is "partial 16S ribosomal RNA". It matches the Rfam family "Bacterial small subunit ribosomal RNA", at positions 28 to 507 of the family's 1533-position model. The record is from RNAcentral.